This 253-nucleotide ribosomal RNA is filed under the name uncultured bacterium. RNAcentral describes it as "partial 16S ribosomal RNA". It matches the Rfam family "Bacterial small subunit ribosomal RNA", at positions 524 to 776 of the family's 1533-position model. The record is from RNAcentral.
UACGGAGGGUGCAAGCGUUAUCCGGAUUCACUGGGUUUAAAGGGUGCGUAGGAGGGCAGGUAAGUCAGUGGUGAAAUCCCCGAGCUUAACUUGGGAACUGCCGUUGAUACUAUCUGUCUUGAAUAUUGUGGAGGUAAGCGGAAUAUGUCAUGUAGCGGUGAAAUGCUUAGAUAUGACAUAGAACACCGAUAGCGGAGGCAGCUUACUACGCGAUUAUUGACACUGAGGCACGAAAGCGUGGGGAUCAAACAGG